RNAcentral lists this ribosomal RNA (253 nucleotides) under uncultured bacterium. RNAcentral's name for it is "partial 16S ribosomal RNA". It matches the Rfam family "Bacterial small subunit ribosomal RNA", at positions 524 to 776 of the family's 1533-position model. The record is from RNAcentral.
GACGAAGGUGGCAAGCGUUGCUCGGAAUUACUGGGCAUAAAGCGCACGUAGGUUGCGAGAUAAGCGAGGAAUGAAAUCCCAUGGCUCACCCAUGGAACUGUUCCUCGAACUGUCUUGCUUGAGGGCGGGAGGGGAGAGUGGAAUUCCUGGUGUAGCGGUGAAAUGCGUAGAUAUCAGGAGGAACACCGGUGGCGAAAGCGACUCUCUGGCCCGUCCCUGACACUGAGGUGCGAAAGCUAGGGGAGCAAACAGG